RNAcentral lists this ribosomal RNA (813 nucleotides) under Mammaliicoccus lentus. RNAcentral's name for it is "bacterial SSU rRNA". It matches the Rfam family "Bacterial small subunit ribosomal RNA", at positions 70 to 865 of the family's 1533-position model. The record is from RNAcentral. Lineage: Bacteria; Bacillati; Bacillota; Bacilli; Caryophanales; Staphylococcaceae.
CAGAUGAGAAGCUUGCUUCUCUGAUGUUAGCGGCGGACGGGUGAGUAACCGUGGGUAACCUACCUAUAAGACUGGGAUAACUCCGGGAAACCGGGGCUAAUACCGGAUAAUAUAUUGAACCGCAUGGUUCAAUGUUGAAAGACGGUUUCGGCUGUCACUUAUAGAUGGACCCGCGCCGUAUUAGCUAGUUGGUAAGGUAACGGCUUACCAAGGCAACGAUACGUAGCCGACCUGAGAGGGUGAUCGGCCACACUGGAACUGAGACACGGUCCAGACUCCUACGGGAGGCAGCAGUAGGGAAUCUUCCGCAAUGGGCGAAAGCCUGACGGAGCAACGCCGCGUGAGUGAUGAAGGUCUUAGGAUCGUAAAACUCUGUUGUUAGGGAAGAACAAAUUUGUUAGUAACUGAACAAGUCUUGACGGUACCUAACCAGAAAGCCACGGCUAACUACGUGCCAGCAGCCGCGGUAAUACGUAGGUGGCAAGCGUUAUCCGGAAUUAUUGGGCGUAAAGCGCGCGUAGGCGGUUUCUUAAGUCUGAUGUGAAAGCCCACGGCUCAACCGUGGAGGGUCAUUGGAAACUGGGGAACUUGAGUGCAGAAGAGGAGAGUGGAAUUCCAUGUGUAGCGGUGAAAUGCGCAGAGAUAUGGAGGAACACCAGUGGCGAAGGCGGCUCUCUGGUCUGUAACUGACGCUGAUGUGCGAAAGCGUGGGGAUCAAACAGGAUUAGAUACCCUGGUAGUCCACGCCGUAAACGAUGAGUGCUAAGUGUUAGGGGGUUUCCGCCCCUUAGUGCUGCAGCUAACGCAUUAAGC